UCAGAGGGUCGGGCGACCGCGGGAUGUAAAUUCCGAGGAAAGUCCGGGCUCCAUUGAAGCAGGAUGCCGGAUAACGUCCGGCGGGCACAUUGGUGACGAUGUGCUUAGGGAAAGUGCAACAGAAAGCAAACCGCCUAUUUUAGGUAAGGGUGAAAGGGUGUGGUWAGAGCGCACCGCCGUUUUGGCAACAAAGCGGGCAUGGUAAACCCCAUCCGGAGCAAGACCAAAUAGGGGCGGCAUCACGGCGAGCUUAAACGUCGCUGCCCGGGUUGGUCGCUAGAGGUGUUGRGUAACUGACACCCAAGAUGAAUGGUCGCCGCCUUUGUACUUAGGUGCAAAGCGUACAGAACCCGGCUUAUAGACCCUCUGAACUA
Molecule: RNase P RNA, 374 nt
Filed under: Robiginitomaculum sp.
Lineage: Bacteria; Pseudomonadati; Pseudomonadota; Alphaproteobacteria; Maricaulales; Robiginitomaculaceae
Description: RNase P RNA component class A
Rfam family: Bacterial RNase P class A
About the family: Ribonuclease P (RNase P) is a ubiquitous endoribonuclease, found in archaea, bacteria and eukarya as well as chloroplasts and mitochondria. Its best characterised activity is the generation of mature 5'-ends of tRNAs by cleaving the 5'-leader elements of precursor-tRNAs.
Source: RNAcentral